AGUGAACGCUGGCGGUAGGCCUAACACAUGCAAGUCGAACGGCAGCACAGUAAGAGCUUGCUCUUACGGGUGGCGAGUGGCGGACGGGUGAGGAAUACAUCGGCAUCUACUUUUUCGUGGGGGAUAACGUAGGGAAACUUACGCUAAUACCGCAUACGACCUACGGGUGAAAGCAGGGGAUCUUCGGACCUUGCGCGAUUGAAUGAGCCGAUGUCGGAUUAGCUAGUUGGCGGGGUAAAGGCCCACCAAGGCGACGAUCCGUAGCUGGUCUGAGAGGAUGAUCAGCCAAACUGGAACUGAGACACGGUCCAGACUCCUACGGGAGGCAGCAGUGGGGAAUAUUGGACAAUGGGCGCAAGCCUGAUCCAGCCAUACCGCGUGGGUGAAGAAGGCCUUCGGGUUGUAAAGCCCUUUUGUUGGGAAAGAAAAGCAGCAGGUUAAUACCCCGCUGUUCUGACGGUACCCAAAGAAUAAGCACCGGCUAACUUCGUG
This 492-nucleotide ribosomal RNA is filed under the name uncultured bacterium. RNAcentral describes it as "partial 16S ribosomal RNA". It matches the Rfam family "Bacterial small subunit ribosomal RNA", at positions 29 to 507 of the family's 1533-position model. The record is from RNAcentral.